UUAAGCGACUAAGCGUACACGGUGGAUGCCCUGGCAGUCAGAGGCGAUGAAGGACGUGCUAAUCUGCGAUAAGCGUCGGUAAGGUGAUAUGAACCGUUAUAACCGGCGAUUUCCGAAUGGGGAAACCCAGUGUGUUUCGACACACUAUCAUUAACUGAAUCCAUAGGUUAAUGAGGCGAACCGGGGGAACUGAAACAUCUAAGUACCCCGAGGAAAAGAAAUCAACCGAGAUUCCCCCAGUAGCGGCGAGCGAACGGGGAGCAGCCCAGAGUCUGAAUCAGUGUGUGUGUUAGUGGAAGCGUCUGGAAAGGCGCGCGAUACAGGGUGACAGCCCCGUACACAAAAAUGCACAUACUGUGAGCUCGAUGAGUAGGGCGGGACACGUGGUAUCCUGUCUGAAUAUGGGGGGACCAUCCUCCAAGGCUAAAUACUCCUGACUGACCGAUAGUGAACCAGUACCGUGAGGGAAAGGCGAAAAGAACCCCGGCGAGGGGAGUGAAAAAGAACCUGAAACCGUGUACGUACAAGCAGUGGGAGCACGCUUAGGCGUGUGACUGCGUACCUUUUGUAUAAUGGGUCAGCGACUUAUAUUCUGUAGCAAGGUUAACCGAAUAGGGGAGCCGAAGGGAAACCGAGUCUUAACUGGGCGUUAAGUUGCAGGGUAUAGACCCGAAACCCGGUGAUCUAGCCAUGGGCAGGUUGAAGGUUGGGUAACACUAACUGGAGGACCGAACCGACUAAUGUUGAAAAAUUAGCGGAUGACUUGUGGCUGGGGGUGAAAGGCCAAUCAAACCGGGAGAUAGCUGGUUCUCCCCGAAAGCUAUUUAGGUAGCGCCUCGUGAACUCAUCUCCGGGGGUAGAGCACUGUUUCGGCAAGGGGGUCAUCCCGACUUACCAACCCGAUGCAAACUGCGAAUACCGGAGAAUGUUAUCACGGGAGACACACGGCGGGUGCUAACGUCCGUCGUGAAGAGGGAAACAACCCAGACCGCCAGCUAAGGUCCCAAAGUCAUGGUUAAGUGGGAAACGAUGUGGGAAGGCCCAGACAGCCAGGAUGUUGGCUUAGAAGCAGCCAUCAUUUAAAGAAAGCGUAAUAGCUCACUGGUCGAGUCGGCCUGCGCGGAAGAUGUAACGGGGCUAAACCAUGCACCGAAGCUGCGGCAGCGACGCUUAUGCGUUGUUGGGUAGGGGAGCGUUCUGUAAGCCUGUGAAGGUGUGCUGUGAGGCAUGCUGGAGGUAUCAGAAGUGCGAAUGCUGACAUAAGUAACGAUAAAGCGGGUGAAAAGCCCGCUCGCCGGAAGACCAAGGGUUCCUGUCCAACGUUAAUCGGGGCAGGGUGAGUCGACCCCUAAGGCGAGGCCGAAAGGCGUAGUCGAUGGGAAACAGGUUAAUAUUCCUGUACUUGGUGUUACUGCGAAGGGGGGACGGAGAAGGCUAUGUUGGCCGGGCGACGGUUGUCCCGGUUUAAGCGUGUAGGCUGGUUUUCCAGGCAAAUCCGGAAAAUCAAGGCUGAGGCGUGAUGACGAGGCACUACGGUGCUGAAGCAACAAAUGCCCUGCUUCCAGGAAAAGCCUCUAAGCAUCAGGUAACAUCAAAUCGUACCCCAAACCGACACAGGUGGUCAGGUAGAGAAUACCAAGGCGCUUGAGAGAACUCGGGUGAAGGAACUAGGCAAAAUGGUGCCGUAACUUCGGGAGAAGGCACGCUGAUAUGUAGGUGAAGCGACUUGCUCGUGGAGCUGAAAUCAGUCGAAGAUACCAGCUGGCUGCAACUGUUUAUUAAAAACACAGCACUGUGCAAACACGAAAGUGGACGUAUACGGUGUGACGCCUGCCCGGUGCCGGAAGGUUAAUUGAUGGGGUCAGCGCAAGCGAAGCUCUUGAUCGAAGCCCCGGUAAACGGCGGCCGUAACUAUAACGGUCCUAAGGUAGCGAAAUUCCUUGUCGGGUAAGUUCCGACCUGCACGAAUGGCGUAAUGAUGGCCAGGCUGUCUCCACCCGAGACUCAGUGAAAUUGAACUCGCUGUGAAGAUGCAGUGUACCCGCGGCAAGACGGAAAGACCCCGUGAACCUUUACUAUAGCUUGACACUGAACAUUGAGCCUUGAUGUGUAGGAUAGGUGGGAGGCUUUGAAGUGUGGACGCCAGUCUGCAUGGAGCCGACCUUGAAAUACCACCCUUUAAUGUUUGAUGUUCUAACGUUGACCCGUAAUCCGGGUUGCGGACAGUGUCUGGUGGGUAGUUUGACUGGGGCGGUCUCCUCCUAAAGAGUAACGGAGGAGCACGAAGGUUGGCUAAUCCUGGUCGGACAUCAGGAGGUUAGUGCAAUGGCAUAAGCCAGCUUGACUGCGAGCGUGACGGCGCGAGCAGGUGCGAAAGCAGGUCAUAGUGAUCCGGUGGUUCUGAAUGGAAGGGCCAUCGCUCAACGGAUAAAAGGUACUCCGGGGAUAACAGGCUGAUACCGCCCAAGAGUUCAUAUCGACGGCGGUGUUUGGCACCUCGAUGUCGGCUCAUCACAUCCUGGGGCUGAAGUAGGUCCCAAGGGUAUGGCUGUUCGCCAUUUAAAGUGGUACGCGAGCUGGGUUUAGAACGUCGUGAGACAGUUCGGUCCCUAUCUGCCGUGGGCGCUGGAGAACUGAGGGGGGCUGCUCCUAGUACGAGAGGACCGGAGUGGACGCAUCACUGGUGUUCGGGUUGUCAUGCCAAUGGCACUGCCCGGUAGCUAAAUGCGGAAGAGAUAAGUGCUGAAAGCAUCUAAGCACGAAACUUGCCCCGAGAUGAGUUCUCCCUGACCCUUUAAGGGUCCUGAAGGAACGUUGAAGACGACGACGUUGAUAGGCCGGGUGUGUAAGCGCAGCGAUGCGUUGAGCUAACCGGUACUAAUGAACCGUGAGGCUUAACCUU
RNAcentral lists this ribosomal RNA (2902 nucleotides) under Escherichia coli. RNAcentral's name for it is "23S ribosomal RNA". It matches the Rfam family "Bacterial large subunit ribosomal RNA". The record is from RNAcentral. Lineage: Bacteria; Pseudomonadati; Pseudomonadota; Gammaproteobacteria; Enterobacterales; Enterobacteriaceae.